GUGACUGCGUACCUUUUGUAUAAUGGGUCAGCGACUUAUAUUCUGUAGCAAGGUUAACCGUAUAGGGGAGCCGUAGGGAAACCGAGUCUUAACCGGGCGUUAAGUUGCAGGGUAUAGACCCGAAACCCGGUGAUCUAGCCAUGGGCAGGUUGAAGGUUGGGUAACACUAACUGGAGGACCGAACCGACUAAUGUUGAAAAAUUAGCGGAUGACCUGUGGCUGGGGGUGAAAGGCCAAUCAAACCGGGAGAUAGCUGGUUCUCCCCGAAAGCUAUUUAGGUAGCGCCUCGUGAAUUCAUCUCCGGGGGUAGAGCACUGUUUCGGCUAGGGGGCCAUCCCGGCUUACCAACCCGAUGCAAACUGCGAAUACCGGAGAAUGUUAUCACGGGAGACACACGGCGGGUGCUAACGUCCGUCGUGAAGAGGGAAACAACCCAGACCGCCAGCUAAGGUCCCAAAGUCAUGGUUAAGUGGGAAACGAUGUGGGAAGGCCCAGACAGCCAGGAUGUUGGCUUAGAAGCAGCCAUCAUUUAAAGAAAGCGUAAUAGCUCACUGGUCGAGUCGGCCUGCGCGGAAGAUGUAACGGGGCUAAACCAUGCACCGAAGCUGCGGCAGCGACGCUGAUGCGUUGUUGGGUAGGGGAGCGUUCUGUAAGCCUGUGAAGGUGGCCUGUGAGGGUUGCUGGAGGUAUCAGAAGUGCGAAUGCUGACAUAAGUAACGAUAAAGCGGGUGAAAAGCCCGCUCGCCGGAAGACCAAGGGUUCCUGUCCAACGUUAAUCGGGGCAGGGUGAGUCGACCCCUAAGGCGAGGCCGAAAGGCGUAGUCGAUGGGAAACGGGUUAAUAUUCCCGUACUUGGUGUUACUGCGAAGGGGGGACGGAGAAGGCUAUGUUGGCCGGGCGACGGUUGUCCCGGUUUAAGCGUGUAGGUGUGUGUUCCAGGUAAAUCCGGUUCACUUUAACACUGAGGCGUGAUGACGAGGCACUACGGUGCUGAAGCAACAAAUGCCCUGCUUCCAGGAAAAGCCUCUAAGCAUCAGGUAACAUCAAAUCGUACCCCAAACCGACACAGGUGGUCAGGUAGAGAAUACCAAGGCGCUUGAGAGAACUCGGGUGAAGGAACUAGGCAAAAUGGUGCCGUAACUUCGGGAGAAGGCACGCUGACACGUAGGUGAAGUGAUUUACUCAUGGAGCUGAAGUCAGUCGAAGAUACCAGCUGGCUGCAACUGUUUAUUAAAAACACAGCACUGUGCAAACACGAAAGUGGACGUAUACGGUGUGACGCCUGCCCGGUGCCGGAAGGUUAAUUGAUGGGGUCAGCGCAAGCGAAGCUCCUGAUCGAAGCCCCGGUAAACGGCGGCCGUAACUAUAACGGUCCUAAGGUAGCGAAAUUCCUUGUCGGGUAAGUUCCGACCUGCACGAAUGGCGUAAUGAUGGCCAGGCUGUCUCCACCCGAGACUCAGUGAAAUUGAACUCGCUGUGAAGAUGCAGUGUACCCGCGGCAAGACGGAAAGACCCCGUGAACCUUUACUAUAGCUUGACACUGAACAUUGAGCCUUGAUGUGUAGGAUAGGUGGGAGGCUUUGAAGCGUGGACGCCAGUCUGCAUGGAGCCGGCCUUGAAAUACCACCCUUUAAUGUUUGAUGUUCUAACGUGGACCCGUGAUCCGGGUUGCGGACAGUGUCUGGUGGGUAGUUUGACUGGGGCGGUCUCCUCCUAAAGAGUAACGGAGGAGCACGAAGGUUGGCUAAUCCUGGUCGGACAUCAGGAGGUUAGUGCAAUGGCAUAAGCCAGCUUGACUGCGAGCGUGACGGCGCGAGCAGGUGCGAAAGCAGGUCAUAGUGAUCCGGUGGUUCUGAAUGGAAGGGCCAUCGCUCAACGGAUAAAAGGUACUCCGGGGAUAACAGGCUGAUACCGCCCAAGAGUUCAUAUCGACGGCGGUGUUUGGCACCUCGAUGUCGGCUCAUCACAUCCUGGGGCUGAAGUAGGUCCCAAGGGUAUGGCUGUUCGCCAUUUAAAGUGGUACGCGAGCUGGGUUUAGAACGUCGUGAGACAGUUCGGUCCCUAUCUGCCGUGGGCGCUGGAGAACUGAGGGGGGCUGCUCCUAGUACGAGAGGACCGGAGUGGACGCAUCACUGGUGUUCGGGUUGUCAUGCCAAUGGCACUGCCCGGUAGCUAAAUGCGGAAGAGAUAAGUGCUGAAAGCAUCUAAGCACGAAACUUGCCCCGAGAUGAGUUCUCCCUGAGACUUAGAGUCUCCUGAAGGAACGUUGAAGACGACGACGUUGAUAGGCCGGGUGUGUAAGCGCAGCGAUGCGUUGAGCUAACCGGUACUAAUGAACCGUGAGGCUUAACCUUACAACGCCGAAG
RNAcentral lists this ribosomal RNA (2366 nucleotides) under Salmonella enterica. RNAcentral's name for it is "partial 23S ribosomal RNA". It matches the Rfam family "Bacterial large subunit ribosomal RNA", at positions 593 to 2925 of the family's 2925-position model. The record is from RNAcentral. RNAcentral also lists the same sequence under 2 other names. Lineage: Bacteria; Pseudomonadati; Pseudomonadota; Gammaproteobacteria; Enterobacterales; Enterobacteriaceae.